This 382-nucleotide long non-coding RNA is filed under the name Mytilus galloprovincialis (Mediterranean mussel). Lineage: Eukaryota; Metazoa; Mollusca; Bivalvia; Mytilida; Mytilidae. The record is from RNAcentral.
GUAUUUGUGUAGGUAUGUUGGUGUUUUAUGUUUUGCAUAAAUAAUGGCAUAUUUAGGACAUAAUUCAUUUUACACAUGAACUUCAAUUGUUUUUAAACUUUCAUAGGCCAUAGCAUCAGGGUAUUCCGUUUUAACACAUUUGCUUGAUGUUUCUCAUUUUCAAACAACUUUGAUGCAAAUGCAUAGUGUCAAAGUAUUUCACUCUGGGUUGCAAUGAAGGCACCAGUUACUUUUGAAACUAGAAUGAAUUCGAAGUAAAAACUAGAAGAAAAUUCAUUUUAUGGUGUUAAAAAAUAUUUUAUCAGUUAUUUUUAUGAAAUAGACAACUGUUUACAAGGUUAAACCACAAGUUUAUUUCUUUUUAUCAUAUAGUGCUCUAGAA